Molecule: ribosomal RNA, 460 nt
Filed under: uncultured bacterium
Lineage: Bacteria
Description: partial 16S ribosomal RNA
Rfam family: Bacterial small subunit ribosomal RNA
Source: RNAcentral
CCUACGGGUGGCUGCAGUGAGGAAUAUUGGUCAAUGGGCGCUAGCCUGAACCAGCCAAGUAGCGUGAAGGAGGACUGCCCUAUGGGUUGUAAACUUCUUUUAUAGGGGAAUAAAGGGCAGGAUGUAUACGGUCCUGCAGGUACCUGAUGAAUAAGGAUCGGCUAACUCCGUGCCAGCAGCCGCGGUAAUACGGAGGAUCCGAGCGUUAUCCGGAUUUAUUGGGUUUAAAGGGUGCGUAGGCGGGUUGUUAAGUCAGUUGUGAAAGUUUGCGGCUCAACCGUAGCAUUGCAGUUGAUACUGGCAUCCUUGAGUACAGUAGAGGUAGGCGGAAUUCGUGGUGUAGCGGUGAAAUGCAUAGAUAUCACGAAGAACCCCGAUUGCGAAGGCAGCGUGCUGGACUGUAACUGACGCUGAUGCACGAAAGUGCGGGUAUCAAACAGGAUUAGAUACCCUGGUAGUC